Molecule: long non-coding RNA, 489 nt
Filed under: Pan troglodytes (chimpanzee)
Lineage: Eukaryota; Metazoa; Chordata; Mammalia; Primates; Hominidae
Description: long non-coding RNA NONPTRT013525
Source: RNAcentral
UUUUGGGAAUGAAAAAAUAACUUUAUUUCAUUGUGGGGAGCGGGCCGAUGUCCAGCCUCAGAACUUCUGGAACUGCUUCUUGGUGCCGGCAGCCUUGGUGACCUUGAGCACGUUGAAGCGCACUGUCUUGCUCAGAGGCCGGCACUCGCCCACUGUGACGAUGUCACCGAUCUGGACGUCCCUGAAGCAGGGGGACAGGUGUACAGACAUGUUCUUGUGGCGCUUCUCGAAGCGGUUGUACUUGCGGAUGUAGUGCAGAUAGUCUCGGCGGAUGACAAUGGUCCUCUGCAUCUUCAUCUUGGUCACCACGCCAGAGAGGAUCCGCCCUCGAAUGGACACAUUACCAGUGAAGGGGCAUUUCUUGUCAAUAGCGUCCAAAUUCUGAAAGCCACUUUGCAACCCAAAAAGAACUUUCCUUCAUCAGUGGACAUAUGUCAAAGAAGAGAAACAUUAGUAAUAGGAUCCAGGCCAUGUAAUGUUCAUUAAACA